This 253-nucleotide ribosomal RNA is filed under the name uncultured bacterium. RNAcentral describes it as "partial 16S ribosomal RNA". It matches the Rfam family "Bacterial small subunit ribosomal RNA", at positions 524 to 776 of the family's 1533-position model. The record is from RNAcentral.
UACGGGGGGGGCAAGCGUUGUUCGGAAUUAUUGGGCGUAAAGGGCUCGUAGGUGGCCAACUAAGUCAGACGUGAAAUCCCUCGGCUUAACCGGGGAACUGCGUCUGAUACUGGAUGGCUAGAGUUUGGGAGAGGGAUGCGGAAUUCCAGGUGUAGCGGUGAAAUGCGUAGAUAUCUGGAGGAACACCGGUGGCGAAGGCGGCAUCCUGGACCAACACUGACGCUGAGGAGCGAAAGCAUGGGGAGCGAACAGG